GAAUAUCGGCGAACAGAGGCCCUGCCAAUUCGAAACUAGAUAUUAAUUGUAGGGCUCACUGUAAGUAUAUUAAAAGGUGACAAAAUCACCCAAAACGUCACUUUGGGUGUGUAUGUGUGUGUUUUCUUUUUCUUUUUUUUCAACCGUUUAGCAAACUUAUCAUUUAUGUAAUAAUAUAAAACUACAUCUUUCAAGCAUUGCAUUGAAACAUAAUCACAGAAUGCGCUUAUGGUCUUACAAAAACAUGUGCUACGUACUAGCAAGAUGUUAUUAUUGUUACUAUAUAUUGCGGUUCCAUGCAUGCUUGUUGAAUAAUUUAUGGAUGACUGCCAGCUGGACCUCUCGGAGGUGGUGGUGGAGCCGGUGGAUAAUCAGUCACACGACCUCGAGCAAAGGAUGGUUGCAAAAGAAGAAGCAUUAUUAUGCAGCAUAACUCCAAAAGAAACCACAGCAGAUUGUUCCGCUUCAUCUCAUUUCUCAUUUUAAUUGCCCUCUUACCACAUAGAGUUUUCUA
This 514-nucleotide long non-coding RNA is filed under the name Citrus maxima (pomelo). RNAcentral's name for it is "long non-coding RNA (CMAX_LNC003434)". Lineage: Eukaryota; Viridiplantae; Streptophyta; Magnoliopsida; Sapindales; Rutaceae. The record is from RNAcentral.